CUCAUGUUCUUCCCUGGCCGAAACAGGGGACCGACCAGUCUCCUCCCUUUGACUUACCAUCCAGACUGCAGCUGGCACGGCGAAGGCCGGCGGCAGGGGACAAUCCUCUCGAGUUCGAAGAGGCCAAGGCCGGCGGUCGGUAGUGAUCGCCGGCAUCGAAAAAUCAAAGAGAAGAAGAGACCAAACAGGAGGGUCCCUUCUCCGACGAAAUCC
RNAcentral lists this long non-coding RNA (213 nucleotides) under Elaeis guineensis (African oil palm). RNAcentral's name for it is "long non-coding RNA (EGUI_LNC019793)". The record is from RNAcentral. Lineage: Eukaryota; Viridiplantae; Streptophyta; Magnoliopsida; Arecales; Arecaceae.